Molecule: ribosomal RNA, 216 nt
Filed under: uncultured bacterium
Lineage: Bacteria
Description: partial 16S ribosomal RNA
Rfam family: Bacterial small subunit ribosomal RNA
Source: RNAcentral
UGGGAACGUGCCUUUUGGUUCGGAACAACUGAGGGAAACUUCAGCUAAUACCGGAUAAGCCCUUACGGGGAAAGAUUUAUCGCCAAAAGAUCGGCCCGCGUCUGAUUAGCUAGUUGGUGGGGUAAUGGCCUACCAAGGCUACGAUCAGUAGCUGGUCUGAGAGGAUGAUCAGCCACACUGGGACUGAGACACGGCCCAGACUCCUACGGGAGGCAG